RNAcentral lists this non-coding RNA (30 nucleotides) under Mus musculus (house mouse). Lineage: Eukaryota; Metazoa; Chordata; Mammalia; Rodentia; Muridae. The record is from RNAcentral.
UAGAAUGCCCUCUCCACACACCCAUACCCC